GAGUUGUUUGGGAAUGCUGCUCAAAAUGGGAGGUAAACCCCUUCUAAAGCUAAAUACCGGCCAGAGACCGAUAGCGCACAAGUAGAGUGAUCGAAAGAUGAAAAGCACUUUGAAAAGAGAGUUAAAAAGCACGUGAAAUUGUUGAAAGGGAAGCGCUUGCGACCAGACUCGCGCCCGUCGGAUCAGCCGUCGCUCGUCGGCGGCGCACUCCGGCGGGCUCGGGCCAGCAUCAGUUCGCCUCGGGGGGAGAAAGGCGGCGGGAAUGUGGCUCUACGGAGUGUUAUAGCCCGCCGCGUAAUACCCCCGGGCGGACUGAGGACCGCGCGUAUGCAAGGAUGCUGGCGUAAUGGUCGUCAGCNACCCGUCUUGAAACACGG
Molecule: ribosomal RNA, 377 nt
Filed under: Microascus cinereus
Lineage: Eukaryota; Fungi; Ascomycota; Sordariomycetes; Microascales; Microascaceae
Description: LSU rRNA
Rfam family: Eukaryotic large subunit ribosomal RNA
Source: RNAcentral